RNAcentral lists this long non-coding RNA (33549 nucleotides) under Ananas comosus (pineapple). RNAcentral's name for it is "long non-coding RNA (ACOM_LNC026079)". Lineage: Eukaryota; Viridiplantae; Streptophyta; Magnoliopsida; Poales; Bromeliaceae. The record is from RNAcentral.
UUUGUCUUUGCAUGAAGUCUGUAAGUGUUACUAAAACUUAAUUAGUAUAAUAAUAGAAUGAAGUGUGAUAUCUCAAGAUGGAUAGAGCAAGAUGGCGACUAUGGAGUGAUCAUGAAGAAUUGAGAGAGAUGUAUAGAUACAACAUACUGAAAACAUGACAAAAAAAAAGCUAAUUAACAUCACAAAGGAGUAAAGAGAAUUGGAAGAGAUGAGAAAAAUCGUAAAUCAGGGAGAUGUUAGGUUUGGAAUUUGGAAUAGAGGUGAUCACAAACCAACCAUGAAAGAGCAGACAAAGGAUUCUUUUUCUUUUUUAUAUAUAGAAAGAGAACAAUUUAGUAUGUAAGAAGUGCAAAAUUAGUGCUUGGACUCAAUGAUUGAAAAGUAUAGGACAUUAGUGCAUGCCAUUAAAAGACUGCCUCCUUGACCACUUAAUUUUAUACAUUGUAUAUUAGAUAAGAGUUAGAUUAUGGGUUUUAUUAAUUGUACGCAUGAUUGUUCUUUAAAAAGUUUGGCAAAUUAUUAUUGGCUUGCAAUGUACUGAUGGUUCUGAAACAACAAUAUGGGCAUUGUGGUCCAAUGUCAUGACAUUUAGGGUUUUUACAUCAAUCUUAUCAUGUCAGAAGCUUGAUAUGUUGGAUUGUCCUGUAUUUUUUCCAAUUGCAUUAACUGAUUAAAUGCAUGUCGUUGUAGAAUAUUUGCUGUUAUUUUUGUCUAUUUGAGAGACUAAUGAAAUUUUGGAGAGCAACGGUGAAGAUUGGAAACAAGGCAUGAUAAUGCUAGUGGUGCAGUAUGGUCAAGUUUGAGUAAUUGAUUUUUCUGUGAUAUUUGAUAAUGCUAGUGGUGCAGUAAAAUCAAGUUGAGUAAUUCAUUUUGCUAUAAUAUUUUAUUAUCUCCCCUUUCUUUAACUUGACUACCAUGGCAGCAAGGAAGGUACUUGAUGAUCGAACAUGCUGGGACUUAAGUAAACAAUGCUUAUAUAUAACAGAAAGCUGUCCAAUGUUUUUGAUAUGUUCAAUUCAGCUGUUUUUCCUUUGUUAUUAUUCUAAAUAACUAAAUAUUUGCUUGAGCUAUCUUGGGUAACAUAGCUGUUGGAUGAAGUGGCAGCCCAAGCUCCAUUUCUUAGGUGGAGUUCCCAUGUGAAUAAGUUGUUCCUGUUAUCGAGGUCAAUGUAUGCUUGGCAUGGCGGGACAAGCACUUUACAUCCUUUUCUAUAUUGCGACUGAUUUCACUUUACAGAUUUCUCACAAUUUUCUAGUUUAACUGUAUGAAGCGACAUUGCAUAGUUGAGGGGUUUUAUACAUUUGUUGACUGCUAAAAUUUUCUAUGUAAAGCUGUAAACAAUGAUUGUCUUAUCUUACUACAUUAGCAUAUUCUGCUGUAGCAUACAAGUGGAAUACGACUAGUUAUAAAGCAUAUUCAAGCUGAAUGAGAACUACUUUUCAUGACUGCUAGCAUAUCUUUCGGCAAUUGGCACGAGUCUAGUUAGAAUAGUCAACUUAUUUGGCCUUCCAAUACUCUUUAUGUGCUUUUCAUCAAAGUUUGAAAGCUAUAGUCUUAGGUAAUCCUAUACUAAUAAUCUUUGGAUUGCAAUGAGACCAUGAUAGGCAUUAGAGUAGGGAACUACAAUGAAAAUGAGUGUGGGGUGUCUAUGCUGAAUUUUGUAAUGUUCCAUUCAAAUUUUACUCAUGCAGAAAAUUCAUUCUACGAGUCACUGUGCUUGUAUUGAGGGUGCACAUUUUCCAAUAAUAUUCUUCUCAGUUUAAGUCGGGAUUGACUUGUGAAGUAUUGACCAUUAGUUCUCCUCCUAGAUGUGGUAUUUGAGAAGGCGCGUCUGAGGUCCGUGCCUUAGGGUGAGAUGCUAGUCACUGCGCCUUGGAGCUAUUGAGGCAUUGCAUAUGAGACGAGGUGUGUGCAAGAUGUACAACCUCAUGGGGUACACUUUUUAAUUAGUUUUGGAUUCUCUAUCUCUAUAAGAACUGACUGCUUUAACAAUUUUACUUGGUUUAGAAUGAAUUUAUAUUUCUCAAAUCUCGCUUCCUUUGCGCCUCUUCCUGCACUCCUUUUCCGCUUGCACCUGAAUCACUCCUAAACCUCCUAAAUGAAGUGGUGCUGCCCAAUAAAAAGAAGAGGAAGGAGAAGAGGAAGAGGAAAGAGGAGGAAAAGGAGAAGAAAAGGAGAAGAAAAGCAAGAGCUAGCGCAUGGUUAUGCACGCCUUGUUACCUAGGCUCUAGGAACUCCAAGCUCCUUUUCAUGCCUUGCACCUUUCGAAACUAUGAUUCAUAUUACUUCACUUUGUGCAUGUUUGCAGUGUUUAAUGGGUUGAUGUGUCAAGUCGGUUUUGGGUGAUUGGUCAGUCUGAGUUUCUUUGGUGAUUUAUCGGUCACUUGCAACCUAGUUUGGUUGGCUUUGAGUCAGCAUUCCCUCAAACAAAAGUGGGUUUGGGCCAAGGCAUAUAGGUUAUCCGAGGUCACCUUGGGAUUGUUGGCAGGUGCCCCAACAUCUGCUCACAUGGUAGAGGCUGGGGUAGGACACAAUCGAGACUCGUGGUGCUGUGUGCAUAUACUUUUAAGUGAGUUGGUUGCCUUAUUUCUUUCUGCUCGAGCGUUUGGAAUUGUGGUUAGCUCCAACGAUCCACAUCUUAGAUGUCUGAGGGUGCUUGAUAAGAAGUUGGUGUAGUCUGUCACAUUCUGAAAAUGAUAGAAGCGUGCUUAGGUAUAUAAGGAUUACAAAGCUUGUAUUAGUCACUUGUUGCAAUGAUAGCUAAUUAUUAUCGAAUUUGAGCUACCAAAUUUCAAAGGGAGUUAGUUAAGUACAAUUCGUAUCAAAGAAGAUUAGAGUCUUAUUUAUUGAAAAUUCUUUUUGACUACUAUUUGGAAAGGAAAAAAGAUCCAACUCUUCAUUUGGGAAGUAUAUCACAGGACCUAUUGGAGUUGAGUCAUGGAAAGGCCUAGACUUUAACCCUUUUCGGAUUCUUAUUAACCUUUUCAGUUUCUUAUUAAGGCAAUUUCAUAAGAACAAGCAUGAACUUAAGGGUACUUAAUUAAAUGCAUUGGAAUUAAAUGGAUUUUCUAAUGAGUACUAGGAAAUAUGGGCAUAAAUGAAUUUUUUAUGGGAGUGGAUGCAGUGGAACAGACCUAGAUUCUGACCCUUUCUGUAUUCUUGUAAGGGAAAUUUUAUAAGGACAGGCAUAAUCUAAAGGGUACUUGGUUGAGCCCUACUGGAGUUGAAUGGAUUAUCUGAUAAGUAUUAAGAUGAAUGUAAUCAUCAAAAAAUCUCUGAAAAUUAGCAAAAUAACACUUCUUGGUGAAACUAAGGUUAAACCAACGAGGCAUACGGGUGUUAAGCAGAUGCAUUUGUCCCCAAUUUGAAUGAUACGCUCAAACUUAGGCUAAAUUUUCACAAGCUAUCAUCUCAACUGUUAGUUGUAAGAAGCCUUGCAUUCAUUUUUUGCGCUCAAACUGUCAAAAUGCAAACCGACAUAAAAACUUCAAAUCGUGCAUUCAUCUUCUGCCACAUUAUCAUCAACUGGCAUUAUUGCAUAUUAUCGUAUAUUCAUGAGUGUUGAUGAAUAGUUAAGACCUUGAAACUGAUUAGAGAAAACAUGAGAAAAGAUCAAGUUCUUUGUCAAGGAAAAGAAAAGAAAUGCAAAACGCAUUUUUCGCUGAGAGCUGGAAGUAGUACUUGUGAAAUAAUGCAUUAGACAAUCUAUGAAAUGAUGCAUAAGACAAUCUAUGUUAGAGCGGGGUAUAAGAACCGGAAAUGCAGCAUGAUUGAAAUACAAAUUAAAGGUCUGCGUUAUAAUUGAGUGUUAUUUCCAAGAAUUAUUAUAGUUUAAUUUCUCUAAUCCCCCAUGCAACAGAUAUAUUUCAGGAAAUAAGUAGAGAGAUCUGUGAUUGGUAAAUUUGUUAUAUUAUGCAAUUACUAGUUGUCUUAGAUAAUGCAGUGCUGUUUUUGUUGAUUGCCAUGAAUUUGAACUUGUCAUAGGAAGUAGUUCAAGUAUGCCUUUAGGCUGUUAAAUGUUGUCAGCUUUAGUUGGCAUUUGAUUUGAUAAUCAUUGUUUGGAUGCAUUAAGUAUUAUUUGGUGCAUGUUGGGCAGUUCAUCGUAAUUUUGGAUGUUCCCGUAGUUUGUGCUCCUAUAUAAUAGCGGACUUAUGAUGACUACCUAGUAAGAGCUAAUGUGUAGAGAGAUACGGGUCUAACACAUGUUUAGAGCUUCACCUCCUUUCAACUCUUCUAUUUACUUGCAAUUUAAUAUUGGUUAUCCCAAUAUUUAACAAGAAUAGUAUAAGUAAUCAUUGUUAAUGGCGGUCAUACUUUGUGUCCAGUAAUUUUGUCAGUUGCUUUUAAGUAGUAAUAUUUUAUGGAGCUUAAAGUUAACCUGAUAUAUAUGUUCAUUUUGAUAGUUAAGAUGGGAGGCUAUUUUGUUAUGUGCAUAUAUUUCAUCAUUAUUCCUACUGUUUCAUCAUAUACCAUCUUAGAUUGAGGGAAGAUUUUCCUUCUUUUUUUCUUUUUUUUUUUUUUAAACUGAUGCUUCAAUCACCAGUAUUAACUCUUUCCUUCUGAUUUGACGAGAGUAAAAUCUGUAUUCUUAAUAUUGGUUUUGCAAGUUCUUAGUUUUCUUUCGCAUUGGUUUUCUCAGUUCCUAGUGUUGGUAGUAUGCAAGUUGGAUAAAGAUCUUUAAACCGUUUCUUGUAUACCUCCUUUGUAGUUCCUUUCCAUAGGUAUUUUUGUUGCCAUACGUGUGAUUGAAAAUGUUUUAGAUACUUGAUAUAGUCUUCAUCUGUUGUAUAUCUAUAGCAAAGAUCAGGAGCCAAGGCUAUUCUUCUCAUUGUAAAAUUAAUAUCGAUGGUUGAUCUUUUGUGCUUUGGGCAUAACAUGAGUUACAAUGAGAUCAACUUUCUUUCGGGCAUCUGAUAAGAUUUAGUCUAUUCUUCGUGUAUUUGGAACUUUGAAGAAAUCUAUUCUUCGUGUAUUUGGAACUUCGAAUUCUUCCUUAAUGAAUCUGUCGUUGCUUGGAUGACUUGGAUGAUAAUGUCCUUUGAUUUUUGGAUCUGACACUUAGCAGAGAGCAUGCCAUGCCGAACGAACUGGUAUUUUGAAACGUUAUAAUCCAUUUCUGUGUAUCGCCUCUUCUUAUCUAUCUCUUGGAUUUGUUCGACAACUCCAUGAGAAAUGUACUUACCUUUUCUCGCUUGUUGCUUGAUCAUUAGACAGCUGUAAAAUUGAUGACUCUUCAUGCCUUUGUCGGGAAGUUUUGAAAAUUUGAGUAGCUUGCAGAGGAACUUUGGAAAAUUAAGUUAGCUGGGGUAAACAAAAAAAAAAAAGAAAAAAAAGAAAACGAAAAAAAAAGUAAUGACACAAGUCGAUUGCACGUGUGGGCAUAGAAUUGCUUUUGUGAUGAAUGUGUCUCCAGUCCGAAAUAGUUCGGAUUGCUUUAUUUUCUGACACAAUGGUUAUCUUCGUUGUUCGAUGUUUCCAAGUCAGACAUGUAAGUGUGUUCAAGAAAUAAUAUAAAUGGAGCUGGAAUUAUUGAGGUUUUCUUGCUAUAUGCAGGAUUGUCAUAUUGGUCGAGAGCUUAAUAUUACAAGUUAAUAACUAGAAUCCAAGGCGAUAAGAAAAUUUUUAGGAAAUGAUAUUGAAGAAUUGGAAGAGUUUUAUUAAGGUUUGUUUGCACCCUAAUUAAUGUCGUGAUCUUCGACAGAUUACGAUGCCUUCGAUGAUUAUAUUAUUACAAUUUCUCAAUCUAUUCAUGUCAUGUCCUGAAUUUCAGCGGAAGCUUACUGGUCACGUGCACAGACCUGCUGUGUACACCACUACCUCUCGUGUACAUCAGGCGUCUAAAAUUAACAUAGCAAAAGUAUAUUUUCUUAACCAGGUAAUCAGAGCAAAACUAGAAGUUCACAAGUUUAAACUAAAACAAUACCAAUUACAAUUUAGAAACAAAAUACAAAGUACGUUCUAAAUAGUCCUAAUUUACAUCUUAGAACUAAACUAAAAUAAGCUUGCAUGGGUUUAUCUAUUUCAACAUCCAGUAAUCUCUAGCUAGUUGUAGACCCCUUGCCACGAACCGUAGCCCUUUCUACUGUGGAAGGCUCUGCAUAAAAACAAUCAACAAAUAGGGGUAAGAACUAUUAAACAAUAAUUUUCAGAGUGACGAAGGACACCACUAGGUCAACUGAAGCAGGAGUAAACUACACUAAAUAGAACAAGUAAGUGCAGCAAAUAGAUACAAUGAAUUAAUCAUAAACCUACCUCAACAUGAUAUGUUUUCUAACAUGUCACACAUACUAAUCAUUACAUAUACCAGCUAAUGGUUCAUGCUAGUUACAAUUAUCCAUCAAUAACCUACAUGUCAUGAUUUAUGCAGCAUGUCAUCAUUAUAGUUUAAUUAACUAAUAAUAUCACAUAGUUACUUCCUACACUAACAGGAGUGUAAACAUGUAAAUAUUGUCAUUACAACUAAUGAUUAAUAGGAAUGUCAACCUUCUAGUAUGUUCAGUACUAGGUAUAUCUCAACUAAUGAUAUGAAGUAUCUUUACUACUAUGUUCUCUAAGGUUACAUUCAUUUACAUUAACCUAAUUAACAAGAGACUUACACGUGGUAAAGUCCCGGCUCGUGCUGUUCCUAAUGGCUCUGUGGAAGUCAACUCUAUUCACGGCAAUCCACUUCGGCGCUCAAUCUCAUACAGGCGAUUUGCUGUCGUAUAGGCCAAUUCCGGAGUGCCGGCUUGUGGGGAGCGAUCCUCACAAGUAUGUGCGAAUGAGCACAUUGGCAAGCAAGCGUGAUCCAUAGCGUAAGGUCCAUAGGUCUCAUACCCAAUCAUCAUGUCUCUAACAUGGAAUUUCAUCUUCGACACAAAGUCGACUAUUAAUAACAAAGUCAUAUACUACUUUCAACUACUUGGUGACAUAUUUCUACUAAUAGAGUGUAAUACACUGGAUCUUAGCAAAUUGCAAGAUUCGAGUGUUUGAUCUGUGUGUGGAGUCUUUCCACAGUUUUUGGAGGGUCGUUGAUAGUGUUCCGACCCCUGGCGCGCAUCCCGAGGAUGUUGGAGUGAGACUUGGCACCAAAAUCCCAAAAUUGGAAUUUUUGGUCAGCUCUCGGGUAGCCUGCAGCAGGGCUUGUACCGGAACAAGACUGGCCUUGUACCGGUACAAGGGUUGAUGGUUGUACCGGUACAGCCAUCGGGCUUGUACCGGUACAGAGCCGCAGACCGCGCGACCCGAGCCUCGGGUUUGCAAUUUCGUCGGCCUUGUACCGGUACAAGAGCCCGGUACCGGUACAAGGACAGGCAGUUUCGUGCAGAAUGAAAUACAGGCGGGGUUUUGUGCGUUUCGUAGUCCUCUAUUAGUAACCCACGCCCCGAGGGCAUCUCCUAGCUUGGAACUUGCAGGGAGGAAGGUGGAGGAAGCCCUCCACACCUUCCUUUGUGAUUUCUUGAUUUUGGUGGGGUUUUAGAGACUUAACCUGUCUUUUUUUGCUCAUUUUUGCUUGUUGGAAGCCUUCUUCCACAUUGGAGCUUGAUUUUGGAGCUUGGCUGAGGAAGAUCUUGGGGACUUGGAUUAGUUUAGAGCUUGGAUUGAAGCUUCUAAGAGGUAGCAAACAUGUUCUCUCCCUCUAGAUUCAAGUUUGAUUUGAGAUAGAUUUUAAGAUGAAACCUGAGAAUGAGGUUUUUUAGGUUAAUAUUUGGCGCAUUUUGAUAUCUAGGGCUUUUGAACGGCUAGAUGAGUGAAUUAGAGGCUUUAUUAGGUUGGAUUGGAUGAGCCCUAGCUUCAUUUGGAGCUUUAGAGGAGAUUUUGCCACUAGAGGUGAGUUCUCAUCCACCUAUGCAUUGAAUAGCUUAAUGUUUGCAGUAGGUAUUGCGUCGUUCGGCUGUUAUGACUUGUUCUGGCCUGGCGUGUGCAGAGACUAGAGGACACCCUUCGUUGGAGCCGCGUACGAGUGCAGUUUCGUUGUCCAUCGGUGGGUUUGGCUUCGUUGGAAAUGGGGCGAAAUGCUCCCCUAUUGCUCUUUCUUUCCUUGUUGUAAAUUAUUUUAAGUUCCAUUUCUAUGUAAAUGCGAAUUUAUAUGAAUUUUAGAACAGCUUAUAAAUGCUAUGCAUUGGUGUAUUAUGAAAAUUCCACUUAGUAUAUAGAAGUAGGUAUGAGUGAAAGAUGCGAUACGGCAAAAAAAGUGUUUAUCUUGCAAGUGGAAAAUACAUUUCUUUAUGAGAACAUGUGACUUGCGAAUAAUGUACUUUGGAACAUUAGUUAGCCAUUCUUUGACAUUAGAGGAACAAGAGUGUCAUAAAGGGGCCACUUGAAACUGGCCUAAAAACUAUGAACUGAAAUAGAGAUAUAGUGAUAGGCCACUACAUAUCUGUAUCUUCCAUGUUAGAAGACAUGAUGACAUAGGGAUAGGCCAUGAGAUUUAUUUGACACAUAUCCAUCGUUAUCAGACAUGAGAAUUGGUACUUGCGACAGAUCGUUGACUACUUGCCCAUUGUGCCUCAUUCGCACAUGUUGUGCAAGGGUCGCUCCCUACAAGCGGCACUCGGAGAUAGCCAUCGCGAUUCAUAUUCGCCGUGCGGAGAAUUGGCGCCGCCGAAGCUGGAUGUGCGUGGGCCAGGCCUCAUCCUUAGGCGUGGGAUGUUGCUACACACGGGGCAUUUAGGCUCAGCACCGCCAGACAGCCUACGGGUGGUCUCAUGGCGCCAUAGACAGCCUUUGGGUGGUUCUCUUUCAGAUUGACUUUGUGUAAUCCAUUAUGACAUGUAUCUGGACACAUGAGGAUUUAGUAUACUAACUUGGACAUUGAUUAUUAAUAGCUAAACAACGGAACCUUACUGAUUUCACAUGUGAACAUCAUGAUAGUUGGAAGGACAUUUACUUCAUGCAUAGUUGCCUUUCAUUACUUUAUUUGUAUUUAUGCUAAGUUGAUGAUAUCACUGUCGUAGUAGGUACAUGGUUUAACUUACCUUUCGCUUUAUUAUACUUUUAUAAGUCACUGACUCUUUGUAGCUUGAGGCCUUAUGGUGGCAUUCACUUGAAGUACAGUAAUUGCCACUCGGAACUUAUCCUUAAUAGUUCUCACGCGCCUGUUUAUAUGUUCCUUCUUCAGAGCCUUCGCCACCGGGGAGGACGGGAUCGCCGGCAAGGGUGUCGCGAUGCUACGCUCGCGAGAGUGGCUGUUGCCUAGGCUGGUUUAUCCUCUUUCUUUUGAUAUUUGAGAGAGUGUGAGGCUUUUGUAUCCAUGUAUAGAGACCACCUGUGUACCUACCUAUAGCACUUGUAUUUGGGAUCCCUAUUGUACUUACUUUAUGUUUUAUUUAGUGGAUUUACAGUUUUACCCUUAUCCCUUGUUGUAGCAUUUAGACAUUUAUUAUGCUCUGAUACUCCUAGAUGCCUCUUUACUGCUUUUAUUAUUGUUGUUUUUAGACGCCUUAUAUGUUGUAGACAUAUGGCGGGUCUGGGCACGCGCCGGGCGGGCUUCCGCUGGGUCCCGGGGCGUGACAUAGAGAAUAUGACUUAAACAAAUACAUGGUUUAUAUCAUAUUAAUGGUUCUAGCGGGCUAUACCUGCAUACUCAUAUAUAGUCCUCUCACUACUUCCUAUACAUAGGGAAAGUGAUUUACUAAAGGCAUAGUCACUGAUUCACUAUGAUGUUCAUACAAACUCAUGGUAUAUGUUCUAUAUUUCUAAACCUCCACUACAGGAAAUAAAUAAGUAUUAUGCAAAUAUUUCUACUUGACUAAACAAGUAUAUCAUUUCACGACCUAUAGGUCAGAAUCUACAUCAUUACGUCCAACUCUAGUUACUUAACUAGGUCAUAUUCAAUAGCAUAAAGUUCAUGCUAACUCUAUCAUGUGAAUAUCAUUAAAACUUGUCUACACAAGCAUACGAAACCUCAUAUAAGGUAUUCUACACAUGAUAUCUAAGCAAUUCAUUUCACAAUAUAAAGAUAUAAUCUUAUUAUAUAUGACAGGCACAAAAAUUCUGUCGACAUGUCUAUAACAUGGAAUAAUAUAGUUUAGCUUUACAAGUUAACUAUCAUAACCAUUCUCCACUUAAUUGUUAAUCUACACUAAGUGUCACAUUCAUAGCUUUACCUCGAUUCUCUAUUGAAUGAUGCAAUGUCUAACUUGUCUACACAAGUUUUACUAAUCUUAUAUAAAGCAUGCUAACUAAGCUAUGUCCAAAAUCUCUUUUUCUCUACUACAUAGAGGUUUCACUUAAUCAUAUAUGGUAAGCAUGUUUUAUGCAUGCACACAUUCAUUCAAACAUAUAUUCACAUGAAUAUGUAGGAAUUACAACUUAUUAAUGUCAAAGAAGAUAUAGGAGGAAUUCACCCAUUUUGGUAAAAUCAAACCCACCAAAUUACUGUCGACUCUUGUCGAUCUCGCGAGCGAAGGUAUUCUUUAGCCUCCAAGCAUUCUAACAACCAUACUAAAGUUAGAAGCUUUACUCAAACCUCUACAUAAUACCGCACAUAAACUUCUCACUUAGGUAGAAUUGUACCUAGUAUAGAAUCCAAAUUUAAUCUUCUCUUCAAUUUAGGUUGGAACACACCAACACCAACUUUCCAAAGAUCAUAAAUCUAAGCCAAAGGAGUCCAAUAACUUGCUGUGAACCUGCUGUGAACUUACACCAUGAACUCCACUAAAACAUCUAUUGUCACACCCCAUGACAUGCCUAUUUGGUCGGAUUUGGGCAUGUCGACAGAUCGCCGAACGGACAGAGUCUCCCCUGCACGUCCUAGGCGUCACAAUCUAUACUAUCACGCCCUACGCCCCGAAACCCCUACCAAUUUGGCACGGUUCGAGCGCAGCGAACGGACGCCGAACGGGUAGCAACUGUCCUGUCCGUCCAAGGCUCACAACCUGAUCAUAUACAAGAGUUUACGCAGGAAAAUUAAAUUCAUACAUACACGAUCAACGGAGCACAAAUAGUGCAAACAACGAAGAGCAAGUAAUCCACAAGAUACAUAAGUGAAAUAAAGAGAGAACUACUAACUAUUACAUCACAUUUGCAUUCUUUAUACAAUUACAUUUUCUUUCCCAAAAUGAAUACAUGCUCAUCAAGUACAUAGCUCUCUAAAGUCCUCACCUACAUGAAUCUCUCUCAAAUACAUAGGUAUGCUAAUGCAAAAGGAAAGCCACUACAUACUACUGGUCGGGCGCGAUGCCCUUGCCGCGGUCCUCGCCCGGCGAACUGGUACUAGGCCCUGCAACAAAGUGGGGUGAGAACUAUCUUCCAUAGUUCCCAGUGGGUUUGGCCGCCGACUCUGCCGAUCUCCCCACUAGGUCUGAGUGGGCAAAAGCAGGUAGAUAGAUAGAUAGAUAGAUAGAUAGAUAGGCAGAUAUCAAACUGUAAAUGACAUAAUAGGAAAACUAUGCUACUAUGCCCAAAGUCAUGUAUCAUGCAUGCAUGUAUCAUAUAGUAAAAUGUCAACUACUAUGUUACCACGUCCAACCAUAAUGUCCAAUAAGCAAUGUUCAAUUAACGAUGCUGUACUCUUGUUCAAUCAAUCCUUGGCGAUCCAUUUGGGUUUGCCCACGACUCACCUCAAACCUCGUAUUGUAAGGAGACGCACCUCGCUCUCAAACCCGGGGCCGUCUGCAGGACAUCAGCUCGUCCCUCUUGCACCAAACUCCGGAGUGCACGAAGCCUCGGGUGGAGCGACCACCACAAGUAUAACAGACUGUGAGUAUGAUCAAUCCUCUCAACUCGAGGACACCCUAUCAACUCUAGGGUUACAAGUCACUCGGGAAUCCACCUAUCCCAAUAUCCAAAUACUAUGUUUGGCCUCAUCAUGUGUUUAUGCAACAAGUCAUUUUCUAGGGAAUCCACCUAUCCCUAAGUUCACAUGCCUCUAGUGUUAUUUACACUAAGUCAUGUACUAGUGCUCAUGUCUUUACAUUCAUCGGGUUCAUCUCUCUUCCUCAGCACUAUAGGAUUCAAAUGUCAAGACCCAAUCCUUAUCUAGCCGAAAAUCAUGCAUUUCUACUCAUACAUCGAUAUCAAUAGCAAGCAUAAGCAAUGGAAAUACGAUGCAAUCCUACAAUGCAUAUGAAAGAGAUGCAAAUCAUAAAUGCUAAGACAUAGAAAGGAGUUUGGUUGCUUCGGGAUGACACCACCCAUCUUUUGAUGAUGUGGAGGGUUCAGAAACGCUAUUCGGCGUGCUUUACGACGAGGUCUCCACCACCUAGGUAGAAACGAAGCUUAUUUAAUAUCAUUUUGCCCAUAUCUUUUUAUCCGCUUGACGAAUCGUAAUUCCAACUUCGCCAACGCGUUUAGACACCCACCAAUUAGGUUUAGAUGCCCUCAAAUGAGAUCAAUCUCAUCAUUUUCUAAAAACCCCAAUUUUGGGUGCCCUAGGGUUAACAUCAUGCUAUUAGCACCAUAGAACCCUAGAUUCUAGCUCUAAUCCACUAUUAAGGAUGCUAGAGGUCCAUUUGACCUCAUCUCAAAAGCCAAAAACCCAAAAAUCCUAAGUUCUACCAUUAGGGUUCAAGAGCUUACCUCUAGUGCUAGCUCUAAAGGGAAGAAGAGAGGGAGAUGGAGGUGUUCAAGGCCUUCUCCUUGAUCUCCUUCUUCUUCUCCUUCCUUUUCCUUCUUUUUCUUUCUCUUUUUCUUCUUCUUCUACUUUGCUUCCAGAGAGGGAGAGAAAGAGAGCUUAGAGAAAGAGAGUGAGGAGUGCCUUAGGGAUAGAUGAGAGAAAGAGAGAGAGCUUUUCUCUCUAAUUCUCUCCAUCUAAUGUAACAAUUACAGCCAAUUCCCUCCACUUUGCAUCUCUCAACCUAGACUGCCUGGGCAGUUUUCGUGCGGAGGGACCGGUCCUCCCGAUGAGGGACGGUCCCCGAGAGCCUUCAGCCAGGGUUGCGCUCACGAGAACUGUCCGUCGCAACCCCAGCUACGAGGACCGGUCCUUCCCUGCUAGGGACCGGUCCCCGAGAGCAAACUCUGCACAGGCCCCUUUUCUACCAGAAUCUCUGCUUACGAGGACCGGUCCCCGAGAGCAGAAUCUGCCAAGUGCAUAUCUUGCACUAUUCGCUUUCGUGGACUCGAUUUCCAAAGCACUUUUUGUGUUUUGGACAUCUUUAGCUCCUCCGAAGCCUACUUGCUCGACAAUUAGUCGAUCCUGGACGAAGUCCAACUCUCGAAUUUUGAGAAUUCACUUCCUUACAUCCUCCCAUUCUUAAAAGGAGUUUCGUCGAAACUGAUUCAACCUAAUUUAAAUUCAGUUUCUAUACCUUAUUCCUCAAACAAGUGAGGAUGAUGCCUCCUCAUCAGAUCCUCGAGUUCCCAGGUGGCCUCGCGAUCAUCGUGAUUGCUCCACCGGAUCUUCACGUUGGGAAUAUCGCGAUUUCGCAGCUUUCGCACUUCUCGGGCUAUAACCAUCACCGGAAACUCCUCGUAGCUCAAGUCUUCUUAGAGUUCCGGCGGCUCAUAUAGCAUCGCGUGCUCGGGGUCAUGAAUGUACUUGCGAAGGUUGGAGACAUGGAAUACAUUGUGUCCAUCCGCGAGCUUCGGCAGCAAGGCAAGUCGAUAGUCCACCGUGCCAACUCACUCUAAUAUCUCAUAUGGUCCAAUGUACCGGGGACUCAACUUUUUCCGCACUCCAAACUGCUUCACAUCCCACAUUGGCGAAACUUUUAAGAAUACACGGUCACCAACCGCAAAUUCUAUGUCUCGAUGGCGCCUAUCAGCAUAGCUUUUCUGUCUCGACUGCGCCGUGAGCAAUCGCUUGCGAGCAAGGCGGACUUUCCCCUCAGCUUCUUGCAACACGUCUGCGUCGAAUUCUGCACGCUCACCCACAUUGCUCCAGUGUAUAGGAGAUCGACACUUCCGCCCAUAAAGAGCCUCGAAUGGUGCCAUCUCUACACUAGCAUGAUAACUGUUGUUGUAGGCGAACUUGGCCAUCGGCAGAUGACUACACCAACUUCCUUUAUAGUCGAUGACACACACCCGCAGCAUAUUCUCCAGAGUUUGAAUGGUCCUCUCUGUUUACCCAUCUGUCUGAGGAUGAAAUGUUGUGCUGAAAUCGAGCCGUGUGCCAAGGGCUUCCUGCAGGCUCUUCCAAAAGUGUGAGGUAAACCGGGGGUUGCGAUCCGACACGACCGAUUUCGGCACCCCGUGCAGUCUCACUAUCUCGUCAAGAUACACCUGCGCCAGCUUGUCGCCUGCCCAUGUGGUGUGGAUUGGCAAAAAAUAAGCCGACUUCGUCAAUCGGUCCACAAUUAUCCAAAUCGUAUCGUGGCCGCCAAUUGAGCGAGGCACACCGACAACGAAGUCCAUCGAUAUAUCCUCCCAUUUCCAAAAGGGGAUUUGUAGGCUUUGAAGCUUUCCCGCUGGAAACCGAUGCUCCGCCUUUACUUGUUGGCAUACUAAGCACUUAGCCACGAAGCAUCCAACAUCGCCCUUCAUUCCAGGCCACCAAUAGUGCAUUUUCAAUCGUUGAUACAUCUUGGUGCCGCCCGGGUGAUCACAAGAAGGCGACCUAUGUGCCUCUUGCAAGAUUAGCUCUCGGAUCUCCUUAUUAUUCGGCACACACCAUCGAUUUCGAAACUGAAGUGCACCAUCGGCGUCUACCAUGAAAUCACCGCCACAACCCUUCUCGAUGUCACGCCGCACCUUUUGGAGUUCUGGGUCCGCGGGUUGCAGAUUCUUAAUUCUCUCCAAUAAGGUCGGUUGGACAACGAGCGCCAUCAACUGGGCCGGAAUCUCGGGAGUAACCACCUCAAGGUUCAUUCGCUCCAUGUCUAGUCAUAAGGGUGUUUGAUUCGUAACCCACAUAGCGAGGUUCUCUGCACUUUCUGCUGAGCGCAUCCGUAGGGGUGGAACUGGGCCGGGCUUGGGUUAGGUUAUACUAUGCCCAAGCUCGGCCCAAAAUAAAAUGUUGGGCUUCGGGUCGGGCUUUUACCCAAUUGUUUUUGAAAAUUAAGGCCCGGCCCAAGCCCAAGCCCAAUGCCCAAGAUCCAUCAGGCUUUUUGGAGGCCCAUUUUAUGCAUUUAUCAUAUAAUAACUAAUUAGCUAUAUAUAAUAAUAUAUACCAUAUAUUUCUUCAUAGAUAUGUAUAAUUAAUUAAUUAUAUAUAAUAAUACAAUUAAUAUAUCCUAAUAUGGGACUAAAUAUUUUGUUAGUACAUAAUAUAUCCUCAUAUAUAUAAAUAAAUAUCAUUAAUAACAAUAUAUACUAUAUAUGAUAUACUAUAUCAUUUAUUCUUUUUAUAGAUAAAUAUUAUAUAUAUAUAUAUAUANAUAUAUAUAUAUAUAUAUAUAAAUAUAUAUAUAUAUAUAUAUAUAUAUAUAUAUAUAUAUAUAUAUAUAUAUAUAUAUAUAUAUACAAUUAAAUAUUUUUAUUUGAUAAUUAAUAUAUCGGGCUUUUGGGUCGGGCUCAGGCCGGGCUUGGACAUGCCCAAAUAGGCCUAAAAUUUUUUCGGGCCUAAAUUUUUAAGCCCGGCCCGAACCCAAAGUUAUAUAUUUAAUACCCAAAGCUCGGCCCGAACAUGACCCAUCGAGCCGGGCCUUGUUUAGGCCCGGGCCCAGUUCCACCCCUACGCAUCCGCGACCAUAUUAGCUUUUUUGGGGUGGUAAAGGAUGUCCACAUGGUAAUCCUUGAGUAAUUCUAACCACCGCCGCUGUCACAUGUUAAGCUCAUUCUGUGUGAACAGAUAUUUUAGGCUUUUGUGGUCGAUAUAGAUCUCACAAUGGGCACCGUACAAGUAGUGCCUCCACAGCUUCAAGGCGAAGAUUACCGCCGCUAGCUCCAAGUCAUGAAUGGGUUAGUUUUUUUCAUAGCUCUUCAGCUGACGGGACGCAUAAGCGAUUACUUUCCUGCCCUGCAUCAAAACAAACCCCAAUCCUAGAUAGGAAGCUUUGCUAUAGACCACGAAGUCUUCGCCUUGCACCGGUAGAGCGAGCAUCGGAAUCGAAGUUAAUCUUUGCUUCAACUCUUUGAAACUCCGGUCGCACUCCGCGCUCCACACGAACUUAGUGCCUUUCUGAGUCAGACGGGUAAGUGGAAUUACUAACUUCGAAAAGCCCUCCACUAACCGUCUAUAGUAGCCCGCCAAGCCCACGAAGCCUCGAACCUCCGUGACAUUCAUCGGGUGCGGCCAAUCCUUAAUUGCCUCAACUUUCCUCGGGUCUACUGAAACUCCACCCGCAGAAAUCACAUGCCCUAAAAAUGUGACUUCUCGGAGCCAGAAGUCACACUUCUUCAGCUUAGCAUACAGCUUCUCCUCCCGAAAGACUUGAAGCACUAAUCUUAAAUGCUCGGCAUGUUCCUCGUCGCUGCGAGAAUAGACCAAUAUGUCAUCUAUGAAGACUACGACAAAUCGUGCGUAGCGUUCUUGGCGACAGUUGUAGAAGUGGAUCGAGUGGCUCCGACCUUGGAGGAGUUGUCGGUAGUACGGGAGUUCCCGGAUGUGUUUCCCGCGGAGUUGCCAGGGAUACCGCCGGAUCGGGAGAUCGAGUUCGUUAUAGACUUGAUUCUCGGUACCGCGCCAAUCUCAAAGGCUCCGUAUAGAAUGGCGCCGGCAGAAUUAAAGGAGUUGAGGGAUCAACUACAGGAUCUUCUCGACAAGCAGUUCAUCCGGCCAAGUGUAUCACCGUGGGGAGCCCCGGUGUUGUUUGUACGGAAGAAGGACGGAUCGUUUUGACUUUGCGAAGAUUACCGAGAAAUGAAUAGAAUCAUGAUCAAGAACAAGUACCCACUACCCUGAAUCGAUGACCUGUUUGAUCAGUUGCAGGGGUCGUGUUUGUACUCGAAGAUAGAUUUGCAGUCUUGCUAUCACCAAUUGAAGAUCAAGCUGGAGAUGUGCAGAAAAUUGCGUUCCGUACGCGGUAUGGGCACUAUAAAUUCACGGUCAUGCCAUUUGGACUUACGAAUGCUCCAGCGGCGUUCAUGGAUUUGAUGAACCGUGUCUUCAGGGCACCCAACAGUCCGGAACAGCCUAAACGCUAUUUUAAAAAUUCACUCAGCAUCCCCGCACGAGUGUAACUGAAAUCUAAACUACCUAGAAUUUUCAAUAUGAUGAUACUACAAUAGUAUAAAAUCAUACAACGGCCCCUACGACUAAAUCAGGUAGUUUAAUAUAUGCCGAUCAUUAUCGCAUUUUCUCCUAAGUCGAAUCCAAGUCCAACAUGUAUAUUUAUGGUUACAAGUCAUGUUCUCAAUGCUGAAGUGUAGAGCAUGAUAGUGUAGUGAUUCAUAGCGGUAGAUUUUAUUUCUGCAUUUACUACUAUCUUUGCUCCCUUCUGUAGACUUAGUGGGUGGAUUGAUGUUGUUGAGGGCAGCACCCACUGAGGACUACCUGCUUUUACAGUAGUUCUCACGCCCUGUUGUUACCCCCUGUUUUUGCAGAGCCAUCGUCGUCGGCUGCUACUGUCGCAGAACUGAAUCGAGGCAAGGGCGUCGCGAGUUAGAGCCCUACCAGACGUGCCGAGCUAGAGGUGCCCCUACUGCAGGUAGAUGUUUUGUUUUGAGUUCAUGUACAUAGUAUAUUUAACUCGCCAGUGCGAGUCGCUCUGUAUUUUUGGUUAUUCGACUAUGUAUAUGGAACUCCGUUUGUUUAGUUUCUGUUUACUCUAGCUGCUCUAUAUUACUGUUUGUAGUAUUGUACGGUUUACAGGUACAGCUGUCGCUUCGUAUACAGGGAAAAUUCCUUUGUAUGCCGCGGAUUUGUCGGCGUGCCCGGGGAACGUGUAAUCCGGGGCGUGACAGGGAAUGAGAGAAAUAUCCCUUUUACCCCCUCACAUAGCUCAUAUGUUGCCAAAAAUGCAAAUAAGCCCCUCAAUUUCAUCUUAUUAAACUGCUCAAACUGGGCAGAUUUCGCAUGCGGGGACCGGUCUCCCCGAUCAGGGACCGGUUCCCGUAGCUCCUCCCUGUGUCAGCUAGGGCUCCCGCGCAAUGCGACCGAUCUCUCUUUGGGGGACCGGUCUCUCCCCGCAGGGACCGGUUCCCGAGAGCUGAUUUUCUGGGACUUAGCCGAUUUCGGCCUUUCACAUUUCUCACGCGUACGGGGACUGGUCUCUCCUUCAGGGACCGGUCCCCGAGAGCAUAAAAACUGCAGUUUGCAGAUUUUUUAUUCUUUAGCUCUUGAAAACCUUCCAUAACGCACUUUUAAUCGUUUUAACACUUUCGAACUUUCCGAAGUGUACUAUCAUCGCACUUUGGUCAAUUUGACUAAAGUUCGAUAUUUAUUUUUCGAAUUUCGGUAUAUUACAGGCCCUCUGAUCUCCUACUAUUGCUAUGGGAGGAGUUCAAGAGGGCGAUAUUCGCCAACUACUUUCCUGAUACCGUGAAGCAGAAGCUACAGAAGAAAUUUCUCAGGUUGAGACAAAGGGACCGCACAGUGGCGGACUAUGAACAAGAAUUUUCCCACAUCAUUGACUGCGUCCCCGAUGUGGUGAAGGACGAUCGAGACAGGGCCAAUUGGUUCUUACAAGGACUACGGCUGGGGAUCUACAAAGCGGGGCAGAUACUCAAGCUCCCGACUUUUGCGGAGGUUUUUGACCGCGCACUAUGGGCAGAGCAUGGAGACGCCCACGUGCGGGAGGAACGGAAGCUGCUGAACGAGUCCAAAGACAAGGACAAGAAACGUUAAGGCGGCGGUUUGGGGGAACAAUCGAGUUCCAAGAAGCCCCCGAAAUAUCCGCGGACGCAGUACAAGGGCCGUGGAGCACGGCGGUGCGUCAUUUGAGGCGGAGACCACCAAUCGGCGCGUUGUGAGCAACGCCAAGGCAAGUGUUUCAAGUGCGGGCAACCCGGGCACUUCAUUCGAGAUUGCCCGGGAGGUGGAGCCUCGCCUGCCCCAUCCAUUGCAUCAGCGCCGGUGGUUCCAGCUCAUUAUGGAGGAGCUCCACCGAUGGCGGCGUCGACGGGACAUGCCAUGGCUCCGCGUCAGUCCGAGAUGACGCGAUCGGCACCGAGCGGGCGGGUAUUUGCCGCUCAGGUCCAAGUCGAGGAGCCUACGGAGGCAAAAAAGCAUCGCCUUGUGGCAGGUAUAGUUUUAAUUAACGGAGUUCGCUACAAGGCUAUGUUUGAUACAGGUGCCACACACUCAUUCAUCAGUAGAUCAUUUGCACGCAUGCAUGAUAUAGUCGUAGAGGCGAGUGAGGGCAAGUGGCAAGUUCAGGGCCCUAGGUCGACAUUUAAUACCUAUAUGGAGUGUUCUUCGUGUCCAGUACAAGUUGGUGACUGGAUAAUGCGGAACCGUGAGAUUCCCUUUGUGAAGGUGCUUUGGAGUAAUCAUGAUGAGCGCGAGACCACUUGGGAGUUGGAGAGCGCACUGCGAGAGCGCUAUUCCUAUCUCUUUCAGAUGGAGGCUUAAGGUACUUUGCCUUUUGAGUUUCGCGGAUGAAACUCCUUAUUAGGAGGGGUGAAUGUAACACACUGGACCUUUGCAAAUUGUAAGGUUCGAGUGUUUGAACUGUGCUCUGAAGUUUUCCACACUUUGUGGAGGGUCGUAGCUAAUCUUUGAUCCUUGUUUGAAGCUUCUAAAAGGUUAGUAGCUCAUUCUCUCCCUCUAGAUUUGAAUUUUGUUGCUUUGUGAUAGAUGAAACCCUAGAAUGAGGUUUUAGGGUUGGUUUUGGGCUUUUUGGAUUUAGAGCUUUUGGAGCUCAAUUUUUUGGAUUAGAACCUUUCUUUGGGUUAGAUUGGAAGGGUUCUAGCUCCCUUUUGGAGCUUAAGAAGAGAUUUCUUCAUUGAAGGUGAGUUUUGGCCCUUUUCUUGUGACUGUUAAAGAUCGAGCUAGGGAUUGUUCGUAACGUUCGUUUCUCUCUUCUUUCUUUACCCUUAGGGUGCUAAAGGACUUGGGGACAACUUCGUUUGAGCUUACGAAGGGUUUCGAGAUGGUUCGGUGGGUUUGACCUAGCCUAGCAUGUGAGAAAUUCUCAUAUCCUAUGUUUUAUGCUUCGUAAAGUAGAAAUUUAUGCAUUUCCAUAAUAAAUGUAAUUAUUUUGAAUUUUAGGAUGCUUAACUUGCCUAUGUUAUGUGUAAUGAAUUUUCGGACCUCUAUGUAGUAGAGAACUAGUAUGUGGAACUUGUACAUGAUUGGCAUCCUAUUGAGACUUGGAAUCAUAAUACCUAUUGUGGAAAUGAGCAUUACGUUCAUGCAUUUAAAGCUAUGCCUAUUUGAGACUUAAAGGAUCUUAGUAAGCUAUAAAGAGGCUUAGGGACUUGUACUACUUGAGAAUAAUUGUGCUAAUGUCAUUAAGCGGCAUUAAGCUCGGGUCAUGUAUGAACCUAGUGUUAAGGUCAUUAAUGGAAUGUUGAAUAGGUGGUGUACUUAACCUAUAGCAAUGCUUAAGUGUCAUAAAGAGGCACUAAGCAUAGUGAGAGUUGGAACUUCACAUUGUGACACAGAACUAGAUCAUUGAGAUACUAGUGACUAAUGCCAUGUUAGAGACAUGAUGAUUGGGUACUUGAGACGAUGACUACGUUUGUUUGCCAUUUGUGCUCAUUCGCACAUGCUUGUGAGAGUCGCUCCCUACAAGCUGGCACUCCGGAGUUGGCCUACGCGACUUAUGUUUGCUCGUGCGGUAUCGAGAAACCUACGGGGUCGGAAGGGAUAGACUUAUUCCUAGAGUGAGAAGCUGGAGCUACCACCGACACUUAGGUGGCACAAGCUGGACUAUAUUUAUGUAGGUCCUAAAACAUGAUGGAAGCACUGACAUUGAACCGGAAAAUGAUAAUCACUACUAGUUAGGCUUAGUAGUUGGAUUACUUUGACAUACUUAUAGCAUAGUGUUGAGACAUGUAGUAUACUUGAUAGUUUAUUUAUUGCAUCAUUAUAUACUUGGUUGCCAUGAUAAAGUAUAAUCAUCAUAUAUUGAUAGAACAGGUCAUGGUACUUACUUGUUGCCAUGUUGGGACAUAUUACUUAUGCAUUGGACAUUCCUCAUCAUGAGAGAGUAAGUGUACAACAUAUUGACAUCGUGGUGCUUAUGGUAUAGUAAACAUACAUGUUUUUAUACCGCAGUUAUCAUUAGUAUUAUUGUUGCUUACCGUACUUACCCUUUUCUUUUGGGGCCUAGUGGUGCAUUAAACUGAGGUCAGUAAUUGCCUCCUGGGAAUUAUAAAUUAUAGUUCUCAUGCCCUCUGUCUUAUGUUUUAUUUCAGAGCCUUCCACGCCGGGUGAGGUUAGGGACCGCGGAAUGGGAAUCGCCUCGAGCUAGCUUGCUAUCGAGAGAUGCGUUGAUAGGUGGUCUACCUCUCGUUGUUUUCUUUUUGGAGAGGUUGAGAGUUGUAUCCAUGUGUAGUGACUACCCUUUUGUGUACCCCUUUUUGGAGAUGGUUAUUGUAUAACUUUAUGAUUCACUUUUACUGUUUAGAUUUUUCCUUCCACCUUGUUAUAGACGAUAGAUUUACUCUUGCUCUGAUAUCUCUAGUUGUAGAUUAUCUUUGGCUUUAUUUUCUGCUAUUGUUGUAGACGCCUUAUAUGUGUUGACAUAUGGCGGGUCUGGACGCCCUCCCGGGAGGGCCUCUGCCGUCCCCGGGGCAUGACAGUUGGAGUGGUGGAGCGACAAGCGAAUGUGACGCUACUUCAAGCCGAGGCUUUGCACCGACAGGAUGAAGGAAUCAGACGGUUGGAGAGCCUGUUGAUCCAACAGACGGCUGACCUCAAGAAAUUUCAUUAGGUUUCGGAUCGCGCCUUGACUGUGGGAAAAGACGUGGAGAUUACCAAGAUGGCAAGGGAGACCACCAAGAGUGACCAGUUGUAUGUUGGGGAAUCAUUAAGGAAAGUAAAAAAGAAUCGACCUCAGGGACGUGGUUCUUUUGCCGGGCGAAGAAUGUCGAGUCAUCGACCGCCACGGCGAUGUGUGAUUUGCGAAGGCCUGCACGUUCCCCCAAAGUGCCCUCAGCGGAGAGGAAAGUGUUUUGUGUGUGGUCAAGAAGGCCAUUUUCGAUCCAAGUGCCCAAGGAAUAGUAUGCCUAAGAAAGUAUCUGCAUUUUCUUUGUUGCGAGAGGCACCCAGUGGAUAUAUGCCUACAGAUUGGCUGGAACAUGAUGUCGCGACGGAGAUGACUACCGCAGGCAGCCUGUUAUUGUAAUUCGAUUAUGCUUGUGAUGAUUGUUCUAAUCGCAUCUUUGAUCGGCUGUUCGUCGAGUUGUGUAGCAUGGAUUCUUUUACUCGAUGCAUAUAGAAUGAUUGGAGUAGCAGGAUGGUCUUGAUGAGAGAGUUUUGGGUGUGCCAACAAAUUGAUUGGCAUUACUUGUGAUAGAAUAGUUUUGGUUUAAAGUCUAGCUUGGAGGUACCUUGUACCGUGGAUUAUGCGAACUGAAUUGAUUCGCUUUGAGAGUUUGAGCAAGAAUUAAUGCAUCUUGAAGGUUUAAUCUCGCUGAUUGCGAAGAUUGUUAUCUUACCUAAAUCAUGUAUUUAUUGGAGAGGAAUUGGAGCCUAAUUGGCUGAUAACCUUGAAUGAUUGAAGAUCCUCAGAAUGAAGGAUAUCUUUUAAGAAGUUAUUGUUAUAUUCCUGAUCGAGCCACAAAUUAUGGGCUCGAUUGGUAGGAAGGCUUUUGUGCCUAUUGUUUUGCUUCAUGAUGGAGCAAUCUCACUGGUUGUGAGGCUAAAUAGAUUGUUCGACUAUGUGUCGACUAUCGUGAACUCAAUUGAAACACUAUUUUCUUUGGUUUAAACUCUAAACUCUAUUUCCUUUAAAUAAUAUCUUAGAUAUGGUUUAGUUUUUUCCUGUUAAUUGGAUAUUCGGGCUUUCGUGAAUAUAAUAAAGAACUUGUGGAUUCUUAUGAAAUGAAAAUGAUUUUCUACCUCUCGCGGUAGCAGAUUUUAAAAGAAAAAGGGUUUCCGUGUGGGAAACGAUUUUAAAAGGUUUCUCGUGGUUUUCAUAACUUAGUAUUUCAAAAUGAGUUUCCGGGUAGGAAAUAUUCUAAACUAAUAGUUAUGGAUUUCUAAAUAAACUCUGAAUAUGAAUUUGUUGGUGAAUGGUGUAUGAAUGUAUGAAUGUUUGUAUAUUCAGUUGUGGUGGUUGUAUCCGUUUAUGUAUCUUGUACUUGUGUGACGCCGUGCAAAUACAGGGGAGACUCUAUCCGUGUGAACAGUGAACUCUCUGUAUUUGUGGCGGAUCUGGCAUACCGUGGGGGUCAGGUUUUCAAAAAAAAAAAUUUGGGCACUUCCGCUUUGUUUUUAAACCAAAAUGAGACCCUGAGGCGUGGCAGAUAUUUACGAUAAAUUUUUUUUUAACUUUGAGAAUUCUAUUUUUGAAUUUAGAAAAUGAAAAAUACUAACAAAAUAAAAAAAUAAAUUGUAGCAAUUGAUAUUUGAAUUUGCUUAGUUAUUUGUCAUAUGAUUUAUUAUUAAAUUUUUAUGGAUAGAUCUCACAAUUUUUUAAAACAAAAUUAAUAAAAAAUAGAUUUUUCUUCAAAAUUUAAAUACAUAUAUUUAAUAGAUUUAAAUUUUAAAAAAAAUUAUUAGAGCAAUUGUAGUACUAUUCUAGUUAAUCUAGUCAUCAUGUGGUCUCUCAUUGAAUCAAUAUUAUUGAUUUUUGCAAAUUCCAUAAAAACUUUAAGAAAAAAUAAUUUUCUCUAAUUUUGUAUUUUAUAAUUUUUAAAGUUCUGCAAAAAAGAUAAAAUCAAAAAAUUUUCAAUGCUAAUCAAGUUUCUAUUUUUAUUUUCUAUGAGCUAUAGUUAUAUUUUACCUUACAUAUAUAAAAAAAAUCUGUUAUUAUAUUAAUUGUAGAGUGUAGUAAGUUAUACGUAGUGAAUAUUUAUAACUAUUUUUAAAAAUUUUUCAAAAUAGCAUUACAGGAGCUUAUUGAAAAAAAAAAUUUUAAAAAAUCGUGCCAAAUCACCCUACUAGAGAGUUAUGCGUAUCCAUCGGUACGCACGUGUCAGCAUGGAGGCCUUCCUGUCCCAGACCGUGCCAGGCCACAACCGGCACGUCGUCGUGCCACGGCACUUUAAUUCUUGAUGUAAAUAGUCCAAAUUCAGCAUAUCAACCCUGUACAUACAGAUUUGAGGAGUUCUAACUCAGGAAAUCAGCAUCUCACACGAAAUUUUCAAGAUACAAGGUUAGAAUAUUUAACUAGACUAAGAAAUCAACAUGCAUGCAGAAAUUUUCGGACAUAGUGGGAAUUCCAAUAUUUUUGGUAAAUUAAACACACCUCGAUUCGCUAAUCUAACCACGGAUCGAGUCGAACCUUCACAAGCACCUUCCCUAAAUCCUGAAUUGCCGAGAAGUGAAGAAAAAUCUAGAGAAUUCCUGUUGGAUUUAACCGAAUCAAAAAUCAAACCAAAAAUCUAAAGAAAACUGAUUUGGUCCGAGAAACACGAAAAUUCACCCACACUAACCUUAAAACAGCUGAAAACGAGUAAUUCCCUGGUUCUCCACUUCUACAAGAUCACAGAGAAAGAUCCAUUUCGCAACAUAAAUGCCCCACGAAGUCAGAAUUGGAUUGGAUCUUAUUAAGUUCCUACUGCUGCUGCUUAUUGUUGCUGUUGUUACUGUGUAGUUACCAACUAACAAAAGAGAGCAACGAAAAGAAGGAAUAAGAAAGAAGAUACUUAGGCUGAUCCUCAACUUCUAACUUUGUAAACCACCCAUAAUUACCAACCAAACUCAGGACAAAAAGUUGAAGAAUCUCAAGAACUUAAAUCCAUCAAAAUUCAUUUCGGUUCGAAGACUCAAUGAAAACUAAAAUUCUUACCAUACCAACCUUCAAUUCCGCUUAAACGAAGUUCCUACUAGUUUUAGAUGAAGGCAAGAUCACUCUCAACUUUUCAAAAGUUCAGCUAAGGGCAUGUUUGGUUGUCCGUAAGUGAAACAAUAAAAGUGGUAUUUUGACGAAGUGAGAUUAUUUCAGUUGUUUGGAUUAUAAAAGUAAAUAUGUAAGUGACUUUUGAAAAGUGAACCUAUGAAGUGGAUUAUAACUAAAAUCCACUUUUUUGACUUCGGCAAAAGAAAUUUCGAAGUCGUUGAAAGUGGGCCGCCUACUCCACGCAACGUAGGAAUCGCAUCCAAAAAUCUUCUUCCGUACCAUCUACAAAAAAAAAAAAAAAAAAAAAAAAAAAAAAAAAACCACGUAUAUCUUAAAAAAAAAAAAAAAAAAAAAAAAAAAAAAAAAAAAGAACAACCGACGGUAUCUUAAAACAAAUAAAAAAAAAAAAAAAACAAAAAAAAAAAAAAAAAAACCAACAAAACAUAAAAAAAAAAAAAAAAAAAAAAAAAAAAAUAAAAAAACAAAGAAAGACGUGCCUUAUCACAGAUACAUCUACAAAAAAAAAAAAGAAAAAACUAGCAUCAACUAAAAAAAAUCAUUUUCUUUUUUUAUUUUCUUACAUAGAACCAAACAAUAGAAGUUAUAAAAACUGUGUUUUUUUUCUUUCACUUUUUUGAAACCAAACACUUAAACUCAAAAGUGACUUUUAUAAAACUCACUUUUUGAAAAGUGACUUUUUCACUUCAAUCACUUACGGACAACCAAAUAUGCCCUAAAGAGAUAGAUUAAAAGAAAAUCUGUCAAAUCUCUAGAACUAGCAAAAUCUAGCUGUUGCCAUGUGGUGUGUCCACAUUGGCCCGUUCAAAUUUAACCCUGCUUGGUGAAAAACUCAAAAUUUUAAAAUUUGAAUUUUAUUCUAUUUGAAUUUUGAAUUAUUUAUUAAUUAUUUAUUGUUAUUUAUUAUUUUAUUAUUUAUUUAUUUAAUUUAAUUUAUUUACUUAUUUUAUUUUCUUUCUUACUGAGAAAGAAACCAACGGGAUAUUUUUUCCGUUCCGUUUCUUUCGCCAAACGGCUCAUUCCGUUGCGCAGGUUCCGCUUCUCUCUCGUAACGAGAAAGAACGUGAAAUCAUCUUUCUUUUUAUGCCAUUUCUUUAUCUCCUCUGUCAAGAUAGAGGAAAUAAAAAAGAUAUCAGAUAAUUGGUUAAUCCUUAUCUACUCAUCUUUUUAUCAUUUACUAUUCUAAUAUUUCUCUUAUCUACUAGGUGUUGAGAGAAUCUCCUUCACGACCGUCCUCGCAGGAAGAGAAAUUCCGGUCGUAUCUUGGGGUGUUGUUCCUGAUUAAUCCCGCACGUAAGGACGAGAAUACGCCUUAGGGCAGUGCCUAUAAGAUCAAAUCUUUAUCGAGAUAUUUACGUUUAUUCGUAUGUUCAAUUUUAUUUUUAUCACUAAAUUAGUUAGAUUCUAAUCACAAUUGAAUUUUUCGUUGCGAUUUUUCCCAACAAUCUAAGGCGUAAUUCUAAUCUGAUUGUGAUUAAAUCUAACAGGUGCUAAUCCUUAAAAAAAAAAAAAAAACUGAUAUUCCAUAUAGUUCUAUUUGACAACUUGUCUGUAUGUUCGUUAUUCAAAGUUAAACAAAUUGGUAUUAGCAUUUUUUAAAAUAUCUAAUUGUAUAUAGUUUUGUUGUAAAUUUUUCUUGUUCAGAUUUGCUUUCUGCUGUAAAAGAAAAAAGGUGUUAUAUACUGUUUUUUUUAUACGGCACAACCUUCUUUAUAUAUAUAUAUAUAUAUAUAUAUAUAUAUUGGGAGUAGCAUUUAAAAAAAAUGUAAAUUGCAUUUAAUUUUUAUUUUCUAUCUUCAUGAGUUUCUAGUGUACAAAUUUAAUUUUUUAAAAUAAAUUACUUAGAGAUGUUUAAAUGCAUUGCCUUUUUGGGGAUGCAUAUAAGAGUCCCAAGAUAUUCACUUUGUCGACAGGUGAAAACGUCGCAAUCUAUUUUAAGAGGUAUAUGAAAAAUCAAAUUCUCUACGUUCAUGGGGAUGCUUUAAAGCGUCGCUUUGAAAAUGUCAACGCUUUGUGCUAGUGUCCCCAUUUGUUUGUCGUCACCAUGUUUAUCAACCCAUUUGCCAAUGCUUGGCUGAGCGAUUGUAACUCAACUAGAUACACUUGCAAGCGCCAACAAGUUGAUUAAAAAGCAUCGCUAAAUGCUGCCUUUUUUUGUAGUGCAUACACACACACACACAUAAGAGCUCAAUUCACACCUGCACGUGCAAACACAUAUGUGUGUAUCACUACACCAUAACACGCUUUUAGAGGCAAUUUAAACUGCCAGGAAAAAUAAAAAAAGUGCUAGGAAAGAUCUUUCCCGGCAGUUUCUUGUGGCACUCACAAGUGCCGGCUAAAAUUCAGUCGGCAAUUAUUUUGCUGGCACUUUUUGUAACCGCCAGUAAACAUUAAAUAGCCGGCACUUUCAACUGCCGGUUAUGAUAUCUAUUUCGGCACUCAAAAGUGCCCCGCAAAAGAAUCUAUAGUGGCACUCGGAAGUGCCGGCUAAUAUAUCUAUUUCGGCAUUCAAAACUGCCACUAUACAUAUCUAUAGUGGCAGUCAUAAAUGCCAAAUAAGAUAUAUAUUUCGGCAACCAAAAUCGCAACUAUAAAUAUCUAUAGUGGCAGGGAGAAGUGCCGGCUAAGAUAUCAAUUUCAGCAUUCACAACUGCCAUUAUACAUAUCUAUAGUGGCAGUCAUAAAUGCCAGGUUAGAUAUAUAUUUCGGCAACCAAAACCGCCACUAUAAAUAUCUAUAGUGGCAGGCAGAAGUGCCAAUUAAGAUAUCUAUUUUGGCAUUCAUAACUGCCACCGUAUAUAUCUAUAGUGGCAGUCAAAAAAUGCCAGCUAAGAUAUAUGUUUCGACAAUCAAAACUGCCAUUUAUUCAUACUUUCAGGGGCAUUUUUUUGCUGAAAGGUUUAAUGGCACUUAUUAAUACCACUUAUAAAGAUAUAAUUACCAUGCAUUCACACGAAUAGAAAUACAAAAAAUAUGUAUACACAUGCAAGCAGCUUCAAACACAAUAAGUUUUGCAUAAGAAAAUUAGAGAACAAAAAGUUAACUUCAUAAGCUUUCAACUUGUAUCAUAUAUUCGACAUCCACAUUAAACCAAAAAGACUUCGAGUUUAAUUCCAACAACAAAAUAGUAACAGUACUACUCCAAAUACAUAUUUAAGUUAUAGACAAAAUGAAGCCUUGCAAUUGGUCAACAUGCAAAGUUGGCGCCAUCUCUGUAGGGAUCAUACAAAAUGUUGAAGAAGUGAGGUUGUGACCUGGGGCUGGUAAUGAUGGUUUCUUUAUGUGCUGCUACUAGACAUUGAAACCUUUGGGCCAGAUGGUCCUCUUAGCAACGCUAUUUGGUAGCAUAUAAGAAGAAUUAAGCAACACAAAAACAAGGAAAAAAAAAGAAGCAAUCUGGUUCACAUCCUUUAUUAAUCUUAUUUAGAGAUAUUAAAUAUGCAAAGAAUUUCCUAUUACUCAUAUAAAUUUUAUGAUAUUACAAAUUUUGAUUAAAAAAGUCAAGAUUCAGUUUGGCCAGAAGAAACACCUAACAUAAAUCCAAUAUUUCUUUGCAGGCAAUUUUAGAUUUCGACCUUAUCAUAUAUUGCAAACAGAUAACAAUUCUACGCUCGCUAAAGAGAAUACACCCUACAUCAUCUCAUAUUUCAUGUGAGAUUGGCAUGUUUAAGUUUUGACAUCUUCCUUCAUCUUCAUAUACAGAGCGAAAGCCAUAAAUUCUAAUUCAGAAGCAGGCCAAUGUUUUAGCGUAUUUACUUAUUCUGAUCGGCUCCUGGGCAACACUAAAAAUGAAACUUAUAUAAGAAUUUAAACCAUGAUGGAAAAGUAUGCUGAAUUUUUAAUUAACAACUUCUGUAUGAGGUCAUAAAAUACUCAAGCACUAAGAAACGGACAAAUCUGGCAAGAGCCAAAUGUAUUAGUAGAACAAACAUAUAAUUAUGUCCGAUGCAAAUAUUAUGAUAACCCUAUAAGCUUCAGUGCAUCAAGCUAUGGCAUUCUGCAUCUUGCUAUUGUGCUACAGGAAAUCACUCUUAUUUCACGUACAAAUUUAGGGUAUAGAAUUGCUCAAGAUGAUUGGAUUUCAGAUUAUCAAGAUAAGGAGAAUACAGAGCAAACAUUAAUAGUUUAUCAAAAGUCAGAAUUUUGUUUUAGAUAAAUUACAUGUUAAUAGUAGCAAGUCACUUAUAGAAAUAGCUUUAUUUUAUUUAUUGGGACUGCCAGGUUGUUAAGAGGAAAAACCAACUCGAGAGAUCUCCAAGGACUACUUUAAGAAUUCAGAAAGGAGGAUAUCCUCUCUCUUACCAUCCCUCACUCCUACAAAUAGCAUAGUGAUUAAUGUAAGAGAUCUGUAACUUUGAUGCCCUGUAUACAACUAAAGACCAUAAUUCAUGUGCUGCAUAAAUUCAUCAGAAAAAACACUAUUGAUUUAUUCUUCUAAUGGCCGCAACAGGGGCAAGGCAGAUUAAUAACAUCUAGAUCAACAAGGUUUGUAACAUCAGCAAAAAAACCAUUGACUUAUUUAUGAAAAUUCUUUUGCAAUAUAUUUCCCUUUGUCAAUAGUUUCCUAAAGUUUGGGCCGAGACAAUAAAAUAUAGAAUACGUUGGAUUAUGAUACAGUGAGAAGAAAUCUGCAUAUACAAUAUACAGAAAUUUAUUUAUUUGAUCCAGUCUAUAAAAUAGAUAAUGCUAGGAUUAUGAUUAAAUACAUAGAUUAAAGACGUGCAAACUGUUCAAGUUUUCACGUAUUUCAAUUGAACACAGAAAUAUCGCAAAAUUAUGAAAUAUACUGAAAGGUGUUUAAAGUCAAUAUUCCAUCAGCGCACUAGCGGAGUUAGUAAUUUAUAUUUGUUAGGUCGUAAUAAAAAAAGAAAAUUUAGCAUGCACAUGCUUUAGGUUUUCAACAAUUUGUUAACAGAAAGAAAGAAAGCACAAAGGAUAAGUAUCAAGAAAAAAAGGAUCACCAAAGUGCACGAAUUAUAAUGAAAAAGAAAAAUCCCAACCGUCUUACCGACAGGUUUUCGCUGAUAAUUGUCUUUCACCUUUUCACUGGACUUAACCUGUAAAAGAAAAAAAAGAAGUACUGCGAUAUAAGUGUCAAGGCAUUAUGUUUACAAUGUUAUCAGUUUUGAAUGUAUAGUGUGAUUAUACUUUACAAGAUUAGGAUGGCUCAGCAAUAUCCGAUUUCUUCGCAGAUCCGUAUCUUAGUACAUACGGCAUGAAACUCCUAAUACAACUUUCAUGUAGUGUAUCAUUACUACUCAAAUAUAAAACUCCCCAAUAUUGUUUGACCUAAUCUGUCGCCUCCUACGAUCCGUAGACAGAUCUUUGCUAAAUCCAGAAGUCUACGUGCACGCGGACGAUGAGGUUGUCCAAUGACAUUAAUGAGCACUUCAACUGUGGCACCCUGUCAAGCAUUUUUAUAAAAUAAUAGAACAUAUAUUUACACUGUCGAAAUAAUCAAUAUAGAUGUUACCUCAGUUUCAGUUAUGUGCAUCUUUUUAUUCCUUUGCUUGAGACCUAUAUAUAUAGUAUCUAUAUAUAUAUAAUAAUAUAUAUAUAUAUAUUAUAUAUAUAUAUAUGUCAGAGUCACUAAUAAUAGCUUUCUAAAUAAAUAAUAUUAUUUUGAAGUCUACUCAUUGCGCGGUUUUCUCUAAUAACAUUUGCAUUGUUCCAACUUAUUUGAAGGGACGAACUCCACAUUUCUGCAUAAAGAUUUAAAUCUAGAAUUCGAUUACCGUAAACUUCAACUGUCACCCUUAAUUAAACAUAUCUAUUCUCUUAGAAAUAUAAUCUCAGUUAUGCUUACUUUGUUAGCCAUCUACCUCUUGUCUUAGCUUUGGAAAGCAGAUGAUCAUAAAAUCACAUCUAAAUUAGGAUAUAAACGUGAAAUCAACAGCAUAGUCAUUUGGUGAAGAAUAUGUGAUAAAUAAAAAUAUGGAAAUUUUUUUUGCUAAGUUCCAUUAAUUAUUUGCCGAGUAGAUGUCAAUAUUAUAUAUUUGACAAUCAGCUGCUAAGGAGUUAAUUUGAACUUGUGGAUGAUCCUUGCUGAUUGAAACGUACUUUUCCAUUACAAAGCAAUGAUUAUGUACGGUUUGUUUGCACACUAAAUCCUAAUAAUGUUAAGCAGUAGUCAGACACUUCCGAAGUAGAGCACGGCCUACUUCCUCUUUACGUCAAAAAACCACUUAGUUUUUGGUGCGUAUAUGCACGUUUGUGGUCUUAAUUAACAGACUAUAUGUACGGUUGAACAAAAUGUUUUAUUCGCCAAGGAUAUAUAUAAUAUUGUGUGCGAAUGCUCUCCAUUGGAGCGGAUAUUGCUGUAAUUUGUGUGAAGAGCAGGUGAAACUCUUAUUAAGAGCCACAAAUCAAAUUGUUUUAGUUUUGAUACUAAGGGUAUAUUACUCAAGCUUAUUUUAAUAUUAAUCCAAUGUACUAAAUUAAGCAUUUGCUCCAAAAUUUUGUCAGUCACUAAUAAGAGGCUAAACAGCAGCCAGAGAGAAAGUUUAUUCAAUUAAGGUUCGAUUAUUCUUUUUCUUAAAUCGCGAACUGUUUUCGCGGCGCUUAGGAUUCAUUUAAUUCGUGGAGUUCGCUUACAGUCCAAAAUAUCAGACUUGGUGUAUAAAAUAUAGUAAUUAGUAUCAAAAUGCAAAUUAAAAUAUAGCGUUAUACACCAUCCCACACAUAGCGAAGCUUAUACUACGAGAACACUAAUAAGAAAACAGUAUAAGAUAUAAUGAGAAUGAAUGCAAGGGCGAUUAAUGAGAAGCGACGAAUCUUACCCAAUCCUAUAGAGCCUUCUUGGAGUCGGGCGAUUAUGCGUCGGCGUAGCCCGCGAGGAGUUAAACAUAGAGUUUAUAGUAAUAAUAGUAUAGUCAAAGAUAUAGUUUUGUAAAUUAAAAUUAAAUAGGAUUAAUAAAUAGCUCAUAACUUUAUUUAUAACAGUUUUACUCAUAUGCCAAAUGUUUAUAUACUAGCAAGGGAGUCUAAAAGUUGCCUUUUCUAAAAAUCAAGGCAAGCCGAGAAAAGCUUAAGAAACUUGUGCUAAUGUUCUCAAUAAAGAGGAUCCUCUAGUAACUAAGCUAGAUGAUUCUCAUAAUUAAACUGUGGCAUUUCAUACUUCUAACAAUACAAUGGCUUGUAGAUGCACAAACUAUUGAGAAAUAUAAAAAGCAAAUGAAUGCCAAAAAGAACAAGCAUUGAAACGUACACAAAGAAAGAUUACUCAAAGCUGUUUUUUUGCUCGUUGAUGAAGCGCCCACACUCUUAAACCAGCGCAUGAGGUUUCAUGAUCCUUCACGGUAAAGCCAAGCUUGAGGAAAGCGAAAAGCUCUCAUUUAUGCGCGCGCAGGCCUCGAUGUAUCGAUGAAAGCGUCACUCACCUCUGAUCUAAUCCUUACAAAGCAAUCCUCACGUGCUAUGCAUUCUUACAAAGAAUUCAGGAAAACGAAAAGUCAAAUUAAUAAACUCUGUAUUUCCGUUCUGUGGAAAAACAAAUGCAGCAUAUUAAAUUCCCUAAUUUCAAAUUGAGGCAGCUUUUGAAUUUUGUAGCCCAUAACUUUGCACUUAGAUGUAUAUGAUUACUUUUAUAAAUUCAACCUUAAGCCUUUCUUGUAUCAAGCACCCAAAUCUUUCAUUAAUCUACCGUUAUAUCACAUUUGCCAGUAUCUUUCACCACCACUAUCUUUAAAAGGAUAGCUGUUUAAUUUCCGCCUUGAUCUUGUGAUAUUCCUAGUUUAAAGAAUUCAAAAUCUCUCUACUGAACACCGUGGGAACUUAAAAGUUUAUUCUUUGCUAUUAAUUUUUUAUAUUGUUUCAUUGCCAAUUAGUUUGACCUCAUAACAAUUUCAAAGUAGCUAAUGCUUUUAAGCAACGAUGUCUUGUAAAUCGCUGUAUCAUACAUACCCUUCAUCAAUUUAAUCUGUCAUCUGAUGUUCUUCAUUGUUAAAGUCCGAAACCACACCUCUACACUAAUUCAACACAAAGGUUUGUUACUAUGAAUAUACUAUGCCCUAGACACAAUUGUGCCUCUUAGCAUCAUCAAUAUGGUUGACAAACCUACAAUGGUGUCGCAAUGAUCUUACUCUUCUACUAACAGUAAUAAAAGUUAAAUUAGCAACUCCACUCUAAAGCAAUAAAGUUAAGUUAUAAUAACAAUUUGCUACAGUAUGGAUAGCCCUCAAAUUAAGGUACCACUUGUUUAGGAUUUGCCCAUUCGGCAGGCACAACUCAACACUAAUUACUAACGUUUUUUUUCCUAAUAUUUUGUACCUAAUAUAUUUCUUUUUUUAAAAGAUUAUUCAUGCAAUUUAUUCUUUAUGUUCUGUUUUUUUUUUCUUUCCUCAGAAGGUUUUAGAGUAUUAAAAACAAAAAAAAAGGGUUGGUUGUUUGAGCACAUAUCAGAACCCCUCCUACUACGUGAAACAAAUUAAUUAAUCGACGAUAUGUAAAAAUUUAUACUGCUCCAAAAUAAUAAUAAUAAUAAUAAUAAUAAUUUUACCACUUUUGGUUGGAAUUUGCGGAGGAGGUGAAGGCGGAGAGGAUGGGCACGCGGGCGGGGGAACUGUGAGGCGCAGGCGAGAGGGUGGCACCUGCGUAGCGAUGCGAGGAUCAGUGAGGAACGGUGAGGCGCAGGCGAGAGGGUGGCGAUGCGUAGCGAUGCGAGGAUCGGUGAGGAACUAUGAGGCGCAGGCGAGAGGGUGGCGCCUGGGUAGCGAUGCGAGGAUCGGUGAGGAACAGUGAGGCGCAGGCGAGAGGGUGGCGCUUGCGUAGCGAUGCGAGAAUCGGUGAAGCGCAGGCGAGGGAAGGGAACGGUGAGCAUGCGGGUUUGAAGCAG